AUUUCGAUUCCCCAAAUUUAUUGCGUGUUCAAAACGCAGCAAAGGUGAUUUUCUCACCUAGAAUCGGGCAAUCAGAGAAGUCAUCCAGGAUGCAGGUUUGCACGAUAACAAGCCACACACAAAGCCAAUCCCUUGGACAAAGAGGAAAUUUGCUUGGCAAGGAUAAUAAGUGGAUAAUUUAUUAGCCAUCGACCAGCAUUGAGUAUCGAAUGGAUGCACGUUGAAUGUUGGAUGACAACUGCAAAACUGCAGCCAGAUUGCCCAGAUAGAGAAACGUAUGCGAGGAUGCGGGCUGUGCUGGAAUGGGGAGAUUUGCCUGGUAUGGAAUAUAGGAGUACAGGAUGCCAAACAAACGAACAAAGGACGAGUGUUUAGAGUAAACACAAAGGCGACCAUAAUACAAUCAUAAUUGCAUUUUUACAACAACCCAGGGAGAGUGUGUCGGAUUUUAUGCUCCCAACUUCGGUUAUUGACAGUUCACACCAAGGACAUGCUUUGAGUCCUAAGCACCCAAGUACAAAAACACACGAACCGAGGCGAAAUUAAAUUUUUAUCUAAUAUAAACUCGCAGCAGGCACUCGUCCCUUUUGCGCUCUGUUGUUACUCAGUCCCUUUAUUUUUUGCACAGCGAUAUGAGCGAUAUGGCUCAAGGACAUUCCAGGAAAUGACAAGGGACACACACACACACACAAACGCUGUCAGUUUUCACACCAAUUCCCGGAGGAUGCACAAAGUCCUGGCCAAUGUCCUUCAGUGGAGCAUUAAUUUGACUUAUCCCUGUGACGGCGGGCCACCAGCAAGGACACGCACUCGGUUGGAAAAGUGCAAUUAAUGUCGAACAAUGGCGACUUUUGUCAGCGCUGGACACACACGCGAACGUCCAAGGAUGCACAGACCAUUAGCCACGAUCCAGGACCCAAGGCCAAGGACCUUGUGCAUAAUUAGCCGGCACUCCGAAUGGGUUGCCUGUCCUUCGGGCCAAGUCAAGGCCCAAUUGCACAAUGCCAUCAGGACACACAGGGCGCAGCAACCUUGAGUCAUAAUUGAGGUCCUGCAGGAUAAUAAAUGUUUUUUGCUCAACCACGCGCCGCGCAUGCGCAGUAUCGAGCCCAAAGGCGAAUGCAAGGCGUGCGCUGAUAAUAAACACAUUUAACUUAUCCUCAAGGUUAGCUGAAGGUCUUAGCUGGUUCCUGUAUAUUCUUAAUUACAGCCCAUAAAGUACAAAUUGAGUCGUAAAGCAAAGUCCAAAGGACAGAACCUGCAGAGUUCUGGGAUCCAUUAAGAAAUAUCUCUCAGAUAAAUAUAUUCAUUGAGUGACAUUCGAAGGUCGUACUAAAUAGAUAAUCCCAUUCUU
Non-coding RNA from Drosophila melanogaster (fruit fly), 1354 nucleotides. Lineage: Eukaryota; Metazoa; Arthropoda; Insecta; Diptera; Drosophilidae. The record is from Ensembl.